RNAcentral lists this ribosomal RNA (507 nucleotides) under uncultured bacterium. RNAcentral's name for it is "partial 16S ribosomal RNA". It matches the Rfam family "Bacterial small subunit ribosomal RNA", at positions 30 to 523 of the family's 1533-position model. The record is from RNAcentral.
AUUGAACGCUGGCGGCAGGCCUAACACAUGCAAGUCGAGCGGCAGCGGAAGGAAGCUUGCUUCCUUGCCGGCGAGCGGCGGACGGGUGAGUAAGGUAUGGGGAUCUGGCCGAAGGCGGGGGAUAACCACUGGAAACGGUGGCUAAUACCGCAUAAUCUCUAAGGAGCAAAGUGGGGGACCGUUCAGGCCUCACACCUUCGGAUGAACCCAUAUGAGAUUAGCUAGUAGGUGGGGUAAUGGCUCACCUAGGCGACGAUCUCUAGCUGGUCUGAGAGGAUGAUCAGCCACACUGGGACUGAGACACGGCCCAGACUCCUACGGGAGGCAGCAGUGGGGAAUAUUGCACAAUGGGCGCAAGCCUGAUGCAGCCAUGCCGCGUGUAUGAAGAAGGCCUUCGGGUUGUAAAGUACUUACAGUCGUGAGGAAGGUGUUAAGGUUAAUAACCUUAGCAAUUGACGUUAGCGACAGAAGAAGCACCGGCUAACUCCGUGCCAGCCGCCGCGGUAA